GCCUGGGUGGCUUAGUCCGUGGGGCGUCUGACUUCAGCUCAGGUCAUGAUCUCGCAGUUUGUGAGUUCGAGCCCCGCCUCGGGCU
RNAcentral lists this transfer RNA (85 nucleotides) under Felis catus (domestic cat). It matches the Rfam family "tRNA". From Rfam's summary of the family: Transfer RNA (tRNA) molecules are approximately 80 nucleotides in length. Their secondary structure includes four short double-helical elements and three loops (D, anti-codon, and T loops). The record is from Rfam by way of RNAcentral. Lineage: Eukaryota; Metazoa; Chordata; Mammalia; Carnivora; Felidae.